UGAUGUGAGGGUGGUCUCACUGUGACAUCUGUCGCCAGGGUUGAUUUGGCUGAUCUGGAUGGCUCAGUGAGCGGGUGUCCCACUCCUCCCUCACUACUCCAUGAGCGUCCCUCCUGAAGCUGAGGGCUGGGUUGAAGAGGAUGACCUUCCCUGAAUAGAGACUUACUGGUCUUUGGUUUUGGCUGCACUCCCCUGUUAGAACCUCCAGACAAGCUCUCAGCAUAUUGUUCUUGGUUUUCUGACAGGUAGUAAACAAAAGGAGAUGCUGCAAAGUUCUCCAGGUCCCAUGUUU
Molecule: unclassified non-coding RNA, 292 nt
Organism: Erinaceus europaeus (western European hedgehog)
Lineage: Eukaryota; Metazoa; Chordata; Mammalia; Eulipotyphla; Erinaceidae
Gene: 7SK
Rfam family: 7SK RNA
About the family: 7SK was discovered as an abundant small nuclear RNA in the mid-70s but a possible function has only recently been suggested. Two independent studies have found that 7SK RNA binds the CDK9/cyclin T complex (known as elongation factor P-TEFb).
Source: Ensembl